This is a long non-coding RNA of Xenopus laevis (African clawed frog), 286 nucleotides long. RefSeq lists it as uncharacterized. Lineage: Eukaryota; Metazoa; Chordata; Amphibia; Anura; Pipidae. The transcript is spliced from 3 exons. The record is from RefSeq and is a predicted model, not a curated record.
CUAUUCAUGAACCAUAAAUAGAUGAUUGGAGCCCCAACAUGAUUUAAAGGGUUCCUGCAUACCUGGAGAAAACAGGGGGUUAUCAAGUAUCGGAGUCAGAGAAAAACCUGUGAUGACGUCGGCAGUGGAGCUCACGGAUGAUCUAGUCAAAGAAUAUCUCACGUUCAGGGGAUUCACCAACACUUUAAAGUACUUUGAGGAUGACAUCAAAGAUAAAGGAUUCCGUCCCACUUCUGAUGACGUCACUUCCCGUUUCCAGCAACGGCACUUCCUGCUUUAUGGUGGU